UACGAAGGGAGCUAGCGUUACUCGGAAUGACUGGGCGUAAAGGGCGCGUAGGCGGUUUGCUUAGUUAGGCGUGAAAUUCCUGGGCUCAACCUGGGGGCUGCGCUUAAUACAGGCAGACUAGAGUGUGAAAGAGGGUCGUGGAAUUUCCAGUGUAGAGGUGAAAUUCGUAGAUAUUGGAAAGAACACCGGUGGCGAAGGCGGCGACCUGGUUCAUUACUGACGCUGAGGCGCGAAAGCGUGGGGAGCAAACAGG
RNAcentral lists this ribosomal RNA (253 nucleotides) under uncultured bacterium. Its description in RNAcentral is "partial 16S ribosomal RNA". It matches the Rfam family "Bacterial small subunit ribosomal RNA", at positions 524 to 776 of the family's 1533-position model. The record is from RNAcentral.